Molecule: long non-coding RNA, 1164 nt
Filed under: Fukomys damarensis (Damara mole-rat)
Lineage: Eukaryota; Metazoa; Chordata; Mammalia; Rodentia; Bathyergidae
Description: lncRNA (ENSFDAG00000028145.1)
Source: RNAcentral
AUACUAAUGAAAAACGAUCAUAUAUAGCAACAUACGUAAUAAAAAUUGUCGAUAUGGAGUCUCUCUCACUCUCUCACAUUUUCUCUGUACUAUACUCCCUCUUCCUGUGAUGACGUGAGAGGACACAAUGAUAACAUGAAAUGAGAAGAGUGACACGGGCAUUGUGACUUUGCAGUAGGCGGCUAAUAACGUUGCUUCAACACUGGCACUGAGAGACAGAGACCACUGAGAUACUUACUGGCUGUGAUGCCUGCCAUGUGACUGGUGGCGGUUUGUAUGCGCAGUGUGAAUGUGGAAGACACAGGAAUGAUUCCCAACCCCUAGAGUCACUUACAAAAGAAGAGAAGGAAAAAGGAAGUACAAAAGCCUAAACAAGAUGCUAAAGGAAAGACAAGAAAAAAUACUAAACUCUUCAGAUUGGACUUUAAUGUGGAGAUUACACGGUUCCUGAGAGUUGGCUUCAGUUUUCACCUAGGAACCUCAGAGAAGCCCUCUUUCCCCUGUUCAUGGGGCAAGGUGUAUGGACACUGCUGUGGUGUGCAGGACUGAAGGGGCAGGUCUACCAGAGGGUCUCCCACUGCUUCUCUGCUCUUCAUUGCUCCAAAGAGGUGGGCCCACCAGAAGGUUGCAAGCUGCUGCCAGGCUACUCCAAUGAACUGAGAUGAAGGCAGAAUUGUUUGCACAGUCACAAGGAGAAAUGUACAUUUUGAGUAACUUUAAGAAGAUGAUGGUCUUUAGGAAGAAUCCAUACACAAUGCCUCGAAGAUACGCACUAAACCCUCCCACUCGGCACCCAGUCUCUCUCCCUGUCUUCCAAGGUAAUUUUCCGAUGUGUUGUCUUAUACUCUAUGAAAUGGAAACCUGGUCAAACGUGUUGGCUAAGAACAGUUACUCCAAGCUUUGUCUAGAGACAAAGUGAGAUUGGAAUAACAUCACUGCCACCUGUUUUCUAUUUUCCAAACUGGUUGCUGCAACAUUAUGAAAGAGUAAUACUUCCAUCCAUCUUGCUGCCUGUAACCCCGGUUUUAUGAGUGUUAACUGCAAUCUGUUUUAAGGAAUUUACAUAAAGCCUCCAAGAAACAACAGAAAGAAAAUUGUAUUAUUAUGAAUUUCGAAAUUGCCAAAGCUCACCAAUGUUUAUUUUAUUUUAAUAUUACCGCCAAU